CUCCUUUGACGUUAGCGGCGGACGGGUAAGUAACACGUGGGUAACCUACCUAUAAGACUGGGAUAACUUCGGGAAACCGGAGCUAAUACCGGAUAACAUUUGGAACCGCAUGGUUCUAAAGUGAAAGAUGGUUUUGCUAUCACUUAUAGAUGGACCCGCGCCGUAUUAGCUAGUUGGUAAGGUAACGGCUUACCAAGGCGACGAUACGUAGCCGACCUGAGAGGGUGAUCGGCCACACUGGAACUGAGACACGGUCCAG
This 259-nucleotide ribosomal RNA is filed under the name uncultured Staphylococcus sp. RNAcentral's name for it is "partial 16S ribosomal RNA". It matches the Rfam family "Bacterial small subunit ribosomal RNA", at positions 81 to 334 of the family's 1533-position model. Lineage: Bacteria; Bacillati; Bacillota; Bacilli; Caryophanales; Staphylococcaceae. The record is from RNAcentral.